RNAcentral lists this ribosomal RNA (253 nucleotides) under uncultured bacterium. RNAcentral describes it as "partial 16S ribosomal RNA". It matches the Rfam family "Bacterial small subunit ribosomal RNA", at positions 524 to 776 of the family's 1533-position model. The record is from RNAcentral.
UACAGAGGUCUCGAGCGUUGUUCGGAUUCAUUGGGCGUAAAGGGCGCGUAGGCGGCGGGGUAAGUCUGGUGUGAAAUCUCGGAGCUCAACUCCGAAAUUGCACUGGAUACUGCUCUGCUAGAGGGCUGGAGAGGAGAUCGGAAUUCACGGUGUAGCAGUGAAGUGCGUAGAUAUCGUGAGGAAGACCAGUGGCGAAGGCGGAUCUCUGGACAGCUCCUGACGCUGAGGCGCGAAGGCUAGGGGAGCAAACGGG